RNAcentral lists this ribosomal RNA (253 nucleotides) under uncultured microorganism. RNAcentral describes it as "partial 16S ribosomal RNA". It matches the Rfam family "Bacterial small subunit ribosomal RNA", at positions 524 to 776 of the family's 1533-position model. The record is from RNAcentral.
UACGGAGGGUGCGAGCGUUAUUCGGAAUCACUGGGCGUAAAGGGCGCGUAGGCGGCCUGGUAAGUCAGGGGUGAAAUCCCACGGCUCAACCGUGGAAUUGCCUUUGAAACUGCUGGGCUUGGAUCCUGGAGAGGGUGGCGGAAUUCCUGGUGUAGGGGUGAAAUCCGUAGAUAUCAGCAGGAACGCCGGUGGGGAAGCCGGUCUCCUGGGCCGUUCCUGACGCUCAUGCACGAAAGCGUGGGGAGCAAACAGG